GCUAAAAAUAGAUGAGCGAUUGGUCUGAAGCUACAAGAGAGCCAAGAUGAUGCAAAAACUCUGUAGAAAAUCUAUGCCUUGGACAGUGAGCUGACCUUAGAUGCCAGGUAACCUAAGUGUGGGCCUGACUCUAGUGACAGUGACAUCAUCGCAAGAAAGUCAGUUGUUCUAGAUCUUAAUUUUACCAUCUAUAAAACUAGGAAAAAUAAUGUAAUACUUACUUUUUUUUUUUUUUAGGACAACAAAAUAUCAAAAUCACCUUCCUAAGGACCCAGCCUUGGUGAACAUAUUUGCCUAAUCAAAUGUCGAGUACACGCUCAGAAAAGAUUUUUGGACUUAUGAAAUUAUUUCUAUAAAAAUUCUUACCAAGAGGUAAACAUGAAAUCACAUUUGUUUAUAUAUUUUGUAAAUCUUCUUUAAUCGAAAGCAAUCAGAACAGCCCCAAAUUAAGACUAUCACAGAAAAUCUUGGACUUUGGGGCAUUAUUCAUUAGAGAAACAGUAAAAACAAAACAAAACAAAACAACCAAGAAAACCUAUGUCAUUCUACCUACUUUCUACCAUAGUUGCUACCUUAGCUCCAGAUCAUCAUUAUCCACUGAUACCCCACAUUCAAUCUGCAGACGGUCCUGGGCAUGGUCCUUCCUGCCCAGUAAGUGUGGGGAGUGUGUGUCCUUACUAUUAGAUGUUUAUGCUAUUCUUUGCUUCCAUGUUUUGGCUUCAUUGAGGUUUUAUUUGUGUAACAGUUGGUUAACUCUCAUCAAAACUGUAGGAGAUGAAAAAAAUCUUUCCUCUACCCUCUUAGGUUUGUACCUGGGGCUUGCAAAUUAAACUGACAAAGAUAGGUUAACAAGAGAAAAAGCAUUUAAUUUUAAUUGAUGUUAGUUGGGGUUUUUUGUUGUUGUUCUUGUUUAUUUUGGGUUUUGUUUUGUGGGUUUGUUUUUUUUUUUUUUUUACCUGCACAGGGGCUUCACAGAAAAAUGAAAACCAAAGAAGUGGUUAAACUUAAGAACUUCAAUGCCAUUUUAACAAAGGGUAAUAAAUUGUAGAAAAAUGACUAGACAAAGGGUGGUUCGGCUUCUAGGGCUGAUAAGUUAUGGAAAGACAACUAGGAAAUCUAUGGGAGGAAACUAACGUUAGAUAAAGAUUGUUUAUUAAGAUUUGUACAGACUCAUCUUGGUGCCAUCUCUGUCUCUGGUGGUUAAGGAUUGUUCUCCCCUUCCUUAUAUGGAAGGAGCCACCCGCACAAAGGAAAUUUAUGUGCUACUUUUAGGCAGAUGGGAAAGGGAACAGAGAGCUCUUCUUAUGUCUGUUUUUUUUUUUUUUUUCAAUUGCCUUCAGCUCAAAACAAUCCUUAUGCCAAAGUGGCAUAUUUGGGGAUGCUGUAUCCUGAUUCCCUUGAUAACCGUAUCACAGCUUGAGCAGGUACUGGGUAGUGCAAGGAAGGGUAUCAGAGUUUCAAUUUGAGCUUUGCUUGAGUGACAAACCGGUCCCACUUAGCCAAUCAGUGGCUUUAGAAACCCUUAAUCAUUUAGAAACCCUUAAGUCCUUAUUUCUGAGUUUUCAGGUAGACAGAAGGGAGAGGCCAAGAACCAACAACUCAUGAAUGAAAAAUUUCCACCUUUAAUUACCAAUUUUAGCAGAAAGCAAAAGGCCUUUGACAGUGCAGGAGAUUGAUCAGUUCACUCCAGUUGAAAUCAUCGUUUUCUGGGGUCAGGGCAUGAACAGCCUCUCCCAGCUGGAUAGGAUGCUCAGAUUACCAGCCCUGCAAAGGAACCAAGGGAGAAGCAGAGGCGAGGGGGAGCAAAAGGUCUCUGCUCUCUCCCUCAAGCUUCUCCGUGGGCUGGAGUCCCCAGAAGCUCUUGCAGAAUGACAGCCCCACCUGCCCACGCACCCUGGUCACGACACUGCCUCCAUGUUCUGCACCAGGAGCUGCCCCUCCUACAGUGCAAAUUCUCCUCCAUACAAUCUAAUCUGCUGCUUAAUCCAAUUUUUGUUUUUUAAAAGAAAUGAUUUGGGCCAGCCGGCAUCAACCUACAAAAGGAAAACAGCUAAACCUGCUCUAUUCUUUUCCAGAUAAGAAUUGUCUCUCUCUCUACCUUUUCAGCUGCGAUUAGCAUAACAAUCCCCAGGGGUUUGCUCACUGAGGGAAAUACCCAGGGUUCUCUUUAAGCAGUGGUUAAUUACAUCCUGCUAUUUAUCCCAUUGAUUAGAGGUUAACUAAUUUGCACCCAGCCAACUCCGUUUUUAAUCUAAUCUAUUUCUCUUUUUCCCCAGACUCCUGGUGUCCUGCAUCCUGUCUGUCACACAGUCUUCAACCUCCCUACCAAGGAAAAAGGUAAUGAGAACGGUCUUCUCCUCCAAGGACCAAAGGGCCCUUUUCAAAGCCCAUCUGGAUGCCCCUGCCUUGAACCUGAGCUAUAUCCUCUCCAGACCUGGCUUUCGUUUGGUGCAGUGGAAAAAGACACAGGCUUUGGAGCCAGACAAAUGUGGGUUUUGUGUGCUAACUUGGUCAUUUAGCCACCUGGGGAACUUUGGAUGAGUUCUGACCUUUACUUUC
This 2559-nucleotide long non-coding RNA is filed under the name Lynx pardinus (Iberian lynx). Lineage: Eukaryota; Metazoa; Chordata; Mammalia; Carnivora; Felidae. The record is from RNAcentral.